GUAGCCUAGCCGCUUCGAGGUUCUUCGGCGCUGGCCGAAGCUAAGACGGGAACGCGGUUCAAGCCGCGGCUGCCCCCGCAACUGUAAGCAUUGAACGGUUCGACACAGCCACUGCGUUCUGCGGGAAGGCGUCGUUCCAGCGGCCUUGGGCCGCAGCAGUGCAAGCCAGGAGACCUGCCUCGAACAGUUUCCGACA
RNAcentral lists this non-coding RNA (196 nucleotides) under Pseudomonas sp. Lineage: Bacteria; Pseudomonadati; Pseudomonadota; Gammaproteobacteria; Pseudomonadales; Pseudomonadaceae. The record is from RNAcentral.